CGUCAGUGCGGCUGUGUUCUUAAUUUACAUUGAGCAAGCGACGUGUGACAAAGAGGCCAAGAUACUAGGUACUGGAGCAAUCGAGAAUCUGUGGUACCUGGCACCACCUGACAGAGAGCGGGGACGAUGACUCAUCUGCGAACGAACACGUUUGUGCAUGUCGAACCAUGGGAACAGGAGCAACGCAAAGCAACUCCAUCCAGUAUCCAGUACCCAGUACACAGUACACAUAUCGAACAUUGGUAACCUGUCCUGCUGUCUGUCUGGGCUUCAAGAGAACUCUACUUGGCCUCCGUCUCCGCCUCCUGCUCCGCACCUCUUCAAACGAUUCUGUUGGGGCGUUGGUUUCGACUUCCCCCAUCGGACCUUUGCAUUUGGCAUACAAAGCAUUGACCGCUGCCGCUGCCUGCCUGCCUGCAUUUGGCACUUGGAAUUCCACACCAGCUACAACAAAUUAAAUAAUAAAUACGAAGGAAAAAAGAGUAUGCGACAAUAAAUAGCGGAACCAAAUUAGGAAGUGGCCACGCCACGCCACACCACACCACACCACACACCACAAAGUCCCCAACUCCAUAUUCGGGUGACCACCGUACAGGACAGCAGCAACCGCAGCAGCAGUCAAGUGGGUCUUUGUACGGUCGGGGAGCAUAGACUGUCAUUGGCAUACUAAAUAUGAUGGAAGUGAUUGAUUCGGUGGCUUCUGAGCUGUGGCUCUGUGGCAGUUUGGUUAAAAUUGGGAUUAUACUAUAGCAUUGGCCAGCGGCUCUUUCGAGUUGCAAAUAAAUGAUAAAUAGCCACUUAGAAAAAAUAGUUACGCUUUAGACGAUGUAUAGAAGAUAUAUGUAUUUAUAGGUUAUUUAAAGAUUAACAAGCGAAAUGUGGCAAUACUUUCAAAGGGAAUUUACUCCAGGAGUAUAUCUUUUGAAAAUGAUCGAAUCAGUACGAUUUAGUUUGGUACAUAAAAAAAACAGUAUAUUUCUAAAGCUGUUUGGUUCGAACAAGUCACAAAGAGAUUUCACUACAUAUAGCCAAAAUGACUUAUCAUAUCUUUUUGCUGAUUAGGUUCAUCUUCUCCGAGGGUAAUCCCUUUAAUAAAAUUCACAUUCGAGAACCGAAACCAAAGAAAAAGU
Long non-coding RNA from Drosophila miranda, 1130 nucleotides. RefSeq lists it as uncharacterized. The record is from RefSeq and is a predicted model, not a curated record. The transcript has 3 exons. Lineage: Eukaryota; Metazoa; Arthropoda; Insecta; Diptera; Drosophilidae.